CACUGAACAAGGAACAGACCAUCAUCACAUUACAACAACCGAAAGACUGAAUGAACACAGGUAGAUUUUGUAAAGCAAUGCUGACCUAACACAUCAGGUCUCAACUAACAACUAACCAUCAACACGAUAGCUUCCAAUUGUUUGUAAUUAUGACUGCUUAGCAAGCAUGUAGAGUCUAGGUUCCACAGUAAGUAAUUACUCAGCGAGUACAGUGGCCCAAUCUAUGUUCGGUGAUGUCCACACACAGGGUUUAUUAUAAAAUACCUCACUUACAUAAUAAAAAUCAAUUUCCCUCGAAACAAUUAAGGGCUUUAGUUGGUGCAAGACCAACCAGGCCAUUCUAUUUUCCAAGCAAAUAUCCGCCGCAUAUAAUGAAAACUAACUAAAUUAAGACAGCUCCACGGAGUAACGGCAAUUGUUGAGCUCAGGGAAUGCUGCACAGAUGGUACAUUAAUUCUACGUGUCACUGCUUUUCCCCACAGUUUUAAUACUGAAAUUAUUAUUCCCACCUCCCUGGUUCCACCACCUGGACAAAUUUAACACAGAGUUAAGAACAAAAAAACUGCCAGCCAAUCGCUCGAGUUUUGUCGGGACAAUGCAUAAAUCAGGAACCCUUAAUUAACUUGCGGAGUUGGUACCCAAUCAACGCGAUAGCUUCCAAUUAUUUGCAAUUAUGACUACUUAACAAGCGUGUACAGUCUAGGUUGUACAGUAACUAAUUACUUGAGGAGUACACUGGCCCAAUCUAAGUUCGGUGAUGUACACACAGGGGCUUAUCAUAAAAGAUCUCCCUUAAAAUAAUAUAAAGCAAUUCAUCUCCAAACAACUAAGAGCUUUAGUUCGUGCAUCGCUAUCAACGAUGGGCGAUAGUACAGUAUAAACCAGGC
This 887-nucleotide long non-coding RNA is filed under the name Triticum aestivum (bread wheat). RNAcentral describes it as "long non-coding RNA (TAES_LNC028489)". Lineage: Eukaryota; Viridiplantae; Streptophyta; Magnoliopsida; Poales; Poaceae. The record is from RNAcentral.